This 74-nucleotide transfer RNA is filed under the name Nanobdellati archaeon. RNAcentral's name for it is "tRNA-Thr". It matches the Rfam family "tRNA". From Rfam's summary of the family: Transfer RNA (tRNA) molecules are approximately 80 nucleotides in length. Their secondary structure includes four short double-helical elements and three loops (D, anti-codon, and T loops). Further hydrogen bonds mediate the characteristic L-shaped molecular structure. tRNAs have two regions of fundamental functional importance: the anti-codon, which is responsible for specific mRNA codon recognition, and the 3' end, to which the tRNAs corresponding amino acid is attached (by aminoacyl-tRNA synthetases). tRNAs cope with the degeneracy of the genetic code in two manners: having more than one tRNA (with a specific anti-codon) for a particular amino acid; and 'wobble' base-pairing, i.e. permitting non-standard base-pairing at the 3rd anti-codon position. The record is from RNAcentral. Lineage: Archaea; Nanobdellati.
GCCUCUGUGGCUUAGCCUGGUAUAGCACUUGCUUGGUAAGCAAGAGGUCCCGCGUUCAAAUCGCGGCAGAGGCU